Molecule: long non-coding RNA, 243 nt
Organism: Dendrobium catenatum
Lineage: Eukaryota; Viridiplantae; Streptophyta; Magnoliopsida; Asparagales; Orchidaceae
Exons: 3
Source: RefSeq, a predicted model, not a curated record
GCCUCAUCUCCAUUGUCGAUCUCCGUCUCGUUCCCUAUGGAAACGCUAUGAUUGGGCCCAACUCCACUAUCUCAUGCCAGCAUGGGCCGUCUGAAUGCUUUCUGAACACUGUGGAAGCUUGUGCUAUUUAUUCCUGGCCGGACGUGGUAAUGCAUCAUCUUACUAUGAUGAAAUUCCCUGUUACUAGCACACAUCUAUAGUAUGAAGAUUAUAUAAGCAACGACAUUUCAGUUUCAUAUAUUG